Molecule: long non-coding RNA, 249 nt
Organism: Prionailurus viverrinus (fishing cat)
Lineage: Eukaryota; Metazoa; Chordata; Mammalia; Carnivora; Felidae
Exons: 2
Source: RefSeq, a predicted model, not a curated record
UUUGAGACUUCCAGAAAUAACUAAGCAAGACUUUGAAGGAGCCUGGAGUCCUGCAUUGGCAGAUUGGGGAAGAGAGGCAUCUAGAGGUAUCUACAGCCACCAGCCCUCUAGUGACAAAGCGAGAACCUCAGACUCAAGUCUCCAACAUUCCAGUCUGUGCCUUCUUCAUGUUCUUGGGCAGCUUUGUUCAAGCAUCUAUAAUGGCUUCCUAUUUCUAACUGUACCAAAUUAAAAUGUUCUGGUCUGGCA